Molecule: long non-coding RNA, 993 nt
Filed under: Vitis vinifera (wine grape)
Lineage: Eukaryota; Viridiplantae; Streptophyta; Magnoliopsida; Vitales; Vitaceae
Description: long non-coding RNA (VVIN_LNC001685)
Source: RNAcentral
ACGUCUCCUGUUUCCCUUACGUCACUCACCCUUUCUCUCCUAUACUUCUCACGAGUACGUUUUCCUCAGUUUUCGACCGUUGGAUGAUCAUCAUAAAGUCAUUUGACACUCACAAUUUUAGACCUAUAAGGUUGAAGUGGACGUACUCUUUAGUAGCGGUGAGUAUCUUCUCCACCUGCAAGAGAGCCGUUGCUGGACCCACUGGGUAGAAGCUGACCAGUCACUUUCUUUUUGCCAAAAUUUAAAUCAGAUUAACGUUCAAAAACACCAAACCAACGGCUAUAAAUUUGGCCUCUCCAGUUCUUGCUCUCACAACUCUAAAUCUUACGGAGAGAGCACGAAUCUCACACACUCUCCAACAUUUUCUCUCUGCUCUGUCUCUCUCUCUAGAAAUGGCGCACGCUAGCAUCGCCAGAGCUACUUAUCUCGUUGUCUUCGUCGUGGCGUGCUUCCUCUCUGGGGCGGUUGUCAAGGCACAGGAGCAGGACACUGUGCCUGCGCCGGCGCCGUCGCCGACGAUAGAGCACGGAUCUGGAUUUGCGGUGCCGGUGUCCGGCGCCGUGGUUUGCUGCUCUGUGUUGAUUUCCAUGGUGGCGCUUCUUCGGCAGUAGAAUUUGGGAGGUUUGGGAAGGAAAAUUUCUACAUUUGUGGUUUGAGAUGAGGAGAGUGAAUAUCGAUGUUUCUGUUAUUCAUUUGCCCUAAUUUUUGGUUAGGGUUGUGAUAUUAUAUAUGCCUUUUACCAUAUUAAUAAAAUCAUAUUAUGCUAUUAAAUCUUUGUCUUCAAAUUUAUUUAUUUUUCUGUGUUUUAAAUUUAUGGUAAUUGAUCUUGAUGCAACUGAACCAAAUUCAAUUACAAAAUCAGUUGGCCCCACUUUUGGACUGAUAAAAAGAGGGAUUUUCUUUUCUUCCUUUUUGAAUCAGUUUCCUUUUCUAUUAAUUUUUACAAAAAGUUAAACCGUUUAAAAAUUCAAAUGCAAAAAGUGACAUCUUAUU